Molecule: unclassified non-coding RNA, 240 nt
Filed under: soil metagenome
Description: partial contains 5.8S ribosomal RNA, internal transcribed spacer 2, and large subunit ribosomal RNA
Source: RNAcentral
AACGCACGAGACCUGCGGACCUGCGGAAGGAUCAUUAUUAGAAAUGGCGUUUGCCAUCACAUCCGACCCGAGUGAAACCUUGUCUAAGGGACUAGCUCGACAGUCGGGGGAAUCAUGUCCGUUGUCGACAUCGAUGACCCACUUUGAUAAAACACCAGAUCACAAUGUGUAGCCUGACACGGCGCUAACAAAAAGUUAAAUAAUAACUUUUAGCAAUGGAUCUCUAGAUCGGAAGAGCAC